CCCUUAGAUGUCCUGGGCUGCACGCGCGCUACACUGAUGUGCCCAGUAAGCACCUAACCUAUUCCGAGAGGAGCGGGUAACCUUAGCAAAGCACAUCGUGAUGGGGAUAGAUUAUUGCAAUUAUUAGUCUUGAACGAGGAAUUCCUAGUAAGCACAAGUCAUCAGCUUGUGUUGAUUACGUCCCUGCCCUUUGUACACACCGCCCGUCGCUCCUACCGAUUGAAUGUUCCGGUGAGCUCUUCGGACUGCGCGGUCUGCAGUUUCUGCGUUCCGUGCGGAAAGUUGUGCAAACCUUAACAUUUAGAGGAAGGAGAAGUCGUAACA
This 324-nucleotide ribosomal RNA is filed under the name uncultured eukaryote. RNAcentral describes it as "partial 18S ribosomal RNA". It matches the Rfam family "Eukaryotic small subunit ribosomal RNA", at positions 1470 to 1796 of the family's 1831-position model. The record is from RNAcentral.